UAACCUGAAGAGGGAAGAAUAAUUCUGAUCUGUAAAGGGCAUUUCCUAACUAGAGUACUGAAUUGAAUUCUAGGAGCCUAUGAAAAACAAUACCAAGUUGAUGCAGGAUUCCGUUUCCUCGAUUCUUUGAAAGCGCAGACUGCGAUGGAAAGCUACCUUUUGUACAAAUAAUUAGGAGAAUGGGACGGAGACACUAUGGGAGAACUUCAGAUAUCACCAGCUUUUCUUUUUAAUCACAAAGAAGGCUUGCAGAUCCUUCAGACGUUUUAUGCAUUUCUAAACCCUAAGAAAGGGGCUUAGCAUCUUCUCCCUCUGGUUCAUUACCCCAACACAGGGUUUUUACAGCUGAACUUUCUGCAUGUUUACUCAGAGUAAGUAAGACCCAUUGAACUUAAUGAGCCUUACUUCCAUGUCAGUGGGAUGAUGAGGACUUCAGACUUGUUUUCCACCAUUGGAAGAUUAUUGCUUGAAAACUAGGUAGCUGAAGACAUUCCUUCUUACAAGACAAACAUAACCAUAGCAUGGGAGAAAAGACACAUUUCAGAUUCUCCAAAACAUUGUAUUUCAUCCAAAUAAUCCUGAAAUAAUAGAACGGGCAGAGCCUAAGAAGCUCCUUUUCACACACAAGUUAUACAUAUGUAAUACUAGUUUUAGCAACAUUAAAAUAACAACCACCCUGAGAACAUGAACAAGGAAAGCAGAAAUAAUAUUUUACAGGUCCUCUCAUUUUUGGUUUAUUUUCCCCAAGUAAAAGGUGAGAGAUAUGAGAUUAAAGUUAUUCCCCUGUGAUGGGCUUGGAUAGCCAAGGUAAUCAAAAAGAAAAACU
Notechis scutatus (mainland tiger snake) is the source of this 826-nucleotide non-coding RNA. The record is from RefSeq and is a predicted model, not a curated record. Lineage: Eukaryota; Metazoa; Chordata; Lepidosauria; Squamata; Elapidae.